This 402-nucleotide ribosomal RNA is filed under the name Verrucomicrobiota bacterium. Its description in RNAcentral is "Verrucomicrobia bacterium partial 16S ribosomal RNA". It matches the Rfam family "Bacterial small subunit ribosomal RNA", at positions 355 to 776 of the family's 1533-position model. Lineage: Bacteria; Pseudomonadati; Verrucomicrobiota. The record is from RNAcentral.
UGGGGAAUUUUGCACAAUGGGGGAAACCCUGAUGCAGCGACGCCGCGUGAUUUAGAAGGCCUUCGGGUUGUAAAAAUCUUUUCUAUGGGAAGAAAAUGACAGUACCAUAGGAAUAAGGACCGGCUAAUUACGUGCCAGCAGCCGCGGUAAUACGUAAGGUCCGAGCGUUGUCCGGAAUCAUUGGGCGUAAAGGGUACGUAGGCGGGUAAGCAAGUUAGAAGUGAAAUCCUGUAGCUCAACUACAGUAAGCUUUUAAAACUGCUCAUCUUGAGAUAUGGAAGGGAAAGUGGAAUUCCUAGUGUAGCGGUGAAAUGCGCAGAUAUUAGGAGGAAUACCGGUGGCGAAGGCGACUUUCUGGACUAACACUGACGCUGAGGCGCGAAAGCCAGGGGAGCGAACGGG